RNAcentral lists this ribosomal RNA (999 nucleotides) under Citrobacter freundii. Its description in RNAcentral is "partial 23S ribosomal RNA". It matches the Rfam family "Bacterial large subunit ribosomal RNA", at positions 1783 to 2779 of the family's 2925-position model. Lineage: Bacteria; Pseudomonadati; Pseudomonadota; Gammaproteobacteria; Enterobacterales; Enterobacteriaceae. The record is from RNAcentral.
AUACCAGCUGGCUGCAACUGUUUAUUAAAAACACAGCACUGUGCAAACACGAAAGUGGACGUAUACGGUGUGACGCCUGCCCGGUGCCGGAAGGUUAAUUGAUGGGGUUAUCCGUAAGGAGAAGCUCUUGAUCGAAGCCCCGGUAAACGGCGGCCGUAACUAUAACGGUCCUAAGGUAGCGAAAUUCCUUGUCGGGUAAGUUCCGACCUGCACGAAUGGCGUAAUGAUGGCCAGGCUGUCUCCACCCGAGACUCAGUGAAAUUGAACUCGCUGUGAAGAUGCAGUGUACCCGCGGCAAGACGGAAAGACCCCGUGAACCUUUACUAUAGCUUGACACUGAACACUGGUCCUUGAUGUGUAGGAUAGGUGGGAGGCUUUGAAGUGUGGACGCCAGUCUGCAUGGAGCCAUCCUUGAAAUACCACCCUUUAAUGGCUGGUGUUCUAACGUGGACCCGUUACCCGGGUUGCGGACAGUGUCUGGUGGGUAGUUUGACUGGGGCGGUCUCCUCCUAAAGAGUAACGGAGGAGCACGAAGGUUAGCUAAUCCUGGUCGGACAUCAGGAGGUUAGUGCAAAGGCAUAAGCUAGCUUGACUGCGAGAGUGACGGCUCGAGCAGGUGCGAAAGCAGGUCUUAGUGAUCCGGUGGUUCUGAAUGGAAGGGCCAUCGCUCAACGGAUAAAAGGUACUCCGGGGAUAACAGGCUGAUACCGCCCAAGAGUUCAUAUCGACGGCGGUGUUUGGCACCUCGAUGUCGGCUCAUCACAUCCUGGGGCUGAAGUAGGUCCCAAGGGUAUGGCUGUUCGCCAUUUAAAGUGGUACGCGAGCUGGGUUUAGAACGUCGUGAGACAGUUCGGUCCCUAUCUGCCGUGGGCGCUGGAGAAUUGAGGGGGGCUGCUCCUAGUACGAGAGGACCGGAGUGGACGCAUCACUGGUGUUCGGGUUGUCAUGCCAAUGGCAUUGCCCGGUAGCUAAAUGCGGAAGAGAUAAGUGCUGAAAGCA